Molecule: ribosomal RNA, 447 nt
Filed under: uncultured bacterium
Lineage: Bacteria
Description: bacterial SSU rRNA
Rfam family: Bacterial small subunit ribosomal RNA
Source: RNAcentral
CCAGACUCCUACGGGAGGCAGCAGUGGGGGAUAUUGGACAAUGGGGGGAACCCUGAUCCAGCGACGCCGCGUGAGUGAAGAAGUAUCUCGGUAUGUAAAGCUCUAUCAGCAGGGAAGAAAGAAAUGACGGUACCUGAGUAAGAAGCCCCGGCUAACUACGUGCCAGCAGCCGCGGUAAUACGUAGGGGGCAAGCGUUAUCCGGAUUUACUGGGUGUAAAGGGAGCGUAGACGGCAGUGCAAGUCUGAAGUGAAAGCCCCGGGCUUAACCCGGGAAUUGCUUUGGAAACUGUACGGCUGGAGUGCUGGAGAGGUAAGCGGAAUUCCUAGUGUAGCGGUGAAAUGCGUAGAUAUUAGGAGGAACACCAGUGGCGAAGGCGGCUUACUGGACAGUAACUGACGUUGAGGCUCGAAAGCGUGGGGAGCAAACAGGAUUAGAUACCCCGGUA